Molecule: non-coding RNA, 658 nt
Filed under: Salmonella enterica subsp. enterica serovar Newport str. S09097
Lineage: Bacteria; Pseudomonadati; Pseudomonadota; Gammaproteobacteria; Enterobacterales; Enterobacteriaceae
Description: bacterial LSU rRNA
Rfam family: Bacterial large subunit ribosomal RNA
Source: RNAcentral
CCCAGACAGCCAGGAUGUUGGCUUAGAAGCAGCCAUCAUUUAAAGAAAGCGUAAUAGCUCACUGGUCGAGUCGGCCUGCGCGGAAGAUGUAACGGGGCUAAACCAUGGCACCGAAGCUGCGGCAGCGACACUCAGGUGUUGUUGGGUAGGGGAGCGUUCUGUAAGCCUGCGAAGGUGGCCUGUGAGGGUUGCUGGAGGUAUCAGAAGUGCGAAUGCUGACAUAAGUAACGAUAAAGCGGGUGAAAAGCCCGCUCGCCGGAAGACCAAGGGUUCCUGUCCAACGUUAAUCGGGGCAGGGUGAGUCGACCCCUAAGGCGAGGCCGAAAGGCGUAGUCGAUGGGAAACGGGUUAAUAUUCCCGUACUUGGUGUUACUGCGAAGGGGGGACGGAGAAGGCUAUGUUGGCCGGGCGACGGUUGUCCCGGUUUAAGCGUGUAGGCUGGUUUUCCAGGCAAAUCCGGAAAAUCAAGGCUGAGGCGUGACGACGCUGAGACUGCGGUGCUGAAGCAACAAAUGCCCUGCUUCCAGGAAAAAGCCUCUAAGCAUCAGGUAACAUCAAAUCGUACCCCAAACCGACACAGGUGGUCAGGUAGAGAAUACCAAGGCGCUUGAGAGAACUCGGGUGAAGGAACUAGGCAAAAUGGUGCCGUAACUUCGGG